This 222-nucleotide non-coding RNA is filed under the name Halorubrum ezzemoulense. RNAcentral describes it as "HgcC family RNA". The stretch from base 17 to 202 matches the Rfam family "Sense overlapping transcript RNA 0042 (sot)". From Rfam's summary of the family: It is associated with IS1341-type transposase (tnpB) genes, at the 3'-end in H. salinarum NRC-1. The tetraloop structural motif may be functional. The record is from RNAcentral. Lineage: Archaea; Methanobacteriati; Methanobacteriota; Halobacteria; Halobacteriales; Haloferacaceae.
GAGAACAUCCGACAGAAAGUAUCUCCGAGUCCCGCCAUGGAUGGCGGUAAUAGGAGUAACGGCUGGUUGGCACAGCCAUCGACGUUCUUGUUUGACAAGGAAACUGGCGCGUUCGCGCCUCAAGAACGGGCCACGUCAUAAACCACAAUAUCCCAAUCCAGCGGUACGGUGCCGUGGGAAUCCUCGCGCUUCAGCGCGGGGAGGAUGUCAAUGACGCCGAUC